GAAGCCAGCUUGCUGCUGGAUUAGUGGCGAACGGGUGAGUACACGUGAGUAACCUGCCCUUGACUCUGGGAUAAGCCUGGGAAACUGGGUCUAAUACCGGAUAUGACCUUCCAUCGCAUGGUGGUUGGUGGAAAGCUUUUGUGGUUUUGGAUGGACUCGCGGCCUAUCAGCUUGUUGGUGGGGUAAUGGCCUACCAAGGCGACGACGGGUAGCCGGCCUGAGAGGGUGACCGGCCACACUGGGACUGAGACACGGCCCAGACUCCUACGGGAGGCAGCAGUGGGGAAUAUUGCACAAUGGGCGCAAGCCUGAUGCAGCGACGCCGCGUGAGGGAUGACGGCCUUCGGGUUGUAAACCUCUUUCAGUAGGGAAGAAGCCAUAGUGAC
Molecule: ribosomal RNA, 386 nt
Filed under: bacterium LFBA5B
Lineage: Bacteria
Description: bacterial SSU rRNA
Rfam family: Bacterial small subunit ribosomal RNA
Source: RNAcentral